Molecule: ribosomal RNA, 468 nt
Filed under: uncultured bacterium
Lineage: Bacteria
Description: partial 16S ribosomal RNA
Rfam family: Bacterial small subunit ribosomal RNA
Source: RNAcentral
GACGAACGCUGGCGGCGUGCUUAACACAUGCAAGUCGAACGGAAAGGCCCUGCUUUUGUGGGGUGGUUGAGUGGCGAACGGGUGAGUAACACGUGAGUAACCUGCCCUUGACUUUGGGAUAACGUCCGGAAACUGGGGCUAAUACCGGAUAUGAGCUCCUGUUCCAAGGUGGGGGGUGGAAAGGUGCUGCGGUUGGGGGUGGACUGGCCGCUGAUUAGCUGGUUGUUGGGGUAGUGGCUUACCAAGGCUUUGCCGGGUAGUCGGCCUGAGCGGGUGACCGGCCACAUUGGGCCUGGGCUACGGCGCGGACUACUACGGGAGGCAGCAGUGGGGUGUAUUGCACCAUGAGCGGGAGCCUGAUGCAGCGACGCCGCGUCCGGGAGGUCGGCAUUCGGGUUGUAAACCGCUUACGCCUGUAACGAAGCGUGAGUGACGGUAGUGGGUAAAGAAGCACCGGCUAACUACGUG